Molecule: ribosomal RNA, 376 nt
Filed under: uncultured bacterium
Lineage: Bacteria
Description: bacterial SSU rRNA
Rfam family: Bacterial small subunit ribosomal RNA
Source: RNAcentral
AAUGAACGUUGGCGGCGUGGAUUAGGCAUGCAAGUCGAGCGCGAUACCUCCUUCGGGAGGUGGAAAGCGGCGAAAGGGAGAGGAACACGUGGAUUAUCUACCCCUGGACCCAGGAUAGCUGCGGAAACUGCAGGUAAUACUGGAUAACGUCUCCGGACCAAAGGUGUGAUUCCGUCCAGGGAGGAGUUCGCGUCCUAUUAGCUAGUUGGUAGGGUAACGGCCUACCAAGGCGAUGAUGGGUACCGGGUGUGAGAGCAUGGCCCGGCUCACUGGGACUGAGACACUGCCCAGACACCUACGGGUGGCUGCAGUCGAGGAUCUUCGGCAAUGGGCGCAAGCCUGACCGAGCGACGCCGCGUGCGGGAUGAAGGCCUGG